GUCGAACAGUUUUAUAUCACCCACUUCUUCCCAACAUAUCAGCGAUCUGCAUGGACGGCCAUACAACGCCUCAUACGGAGCAUGCCAAUACUUGCCUGGUAGUUAUUGUUGUAGGCGAAUUCUAUCAAGGGUAGAUGGUCAUCCCAAUGGCCCCCCGAAGUCAAGAAUACAAGCUCGUAGCAUAUCCUCAAGUGUGCAGAU
RNAcentral lists this long non-coding RNA (201 nucleotides) under Carica papaya (papaya). Its description in RNAcentral is "long non-coding RNA (CPAP_LNC010264)". Lineage: Eukaryota; Viridiplantae; Streptophyta; Magnoliopsida; Brassicales; Caricaceae. The record is from RNAcentral.